AAAAACAGACUUCAGAGAAUCAUUUCUAUAGUAUUCGUCCCACUCUUUAUUCCUUACAAAAGGCAUAGAGCCCACCCUGGUUGAUGAGCGAAAAUCCCCGUCGCCCUAGAGUGAAAAUUUCAACUCAAUCGAGGUUCCUUGUUGUCCCUUUUUUGGGGCGUCAUGGUUCCUCUUUACUCUCGCCCUGUCCGCAAGGAUGGCGGUCCGCGCGCCCUCGUGCGCGGGCUGUAUAGAGAGUGGUGAUGAUCUCAACCCCGUUGUCGCGGUCUUGCCUUCGGGCGCGUGGCCGGGGUGGGCGACGGUGGAAGUCUGACAGGC
Molecule: small nucleolar RNA, 318 nt
Filed under: Rosellinia necatrix
Lineage: Eukaryota; Fungi; Ascomycota; Sordariomycetes; Xylariales; Xylariaceae
Description: Fungal small nucleolar RNA U3
Rfam family: Fungal small nucleolar RNA U3
About the family: Small nucleolar RNAs (snoRNAs) are involved in the processing and modification of rRNA in the nucleolus. There are two main classes of snoRNAs: the box C/D class, and the box H/ACA class.
Source: Rfam by way of RNAcentral